AACGAACGCUGGCGGCAGGCCUAACACAUGCAAGUCGAGCGAGACCUUCGGGUCUAGCGGCGGACGGGUUAGUAACGCGUGGGAACGUGCCCUUCUCUGCGGAAUAGCCACUGGAAACGGUGAGUAAUACCGCAUACGCCCUUCGGGAGAAAGAUUUAUCGGAGAAGGAUCGGCCCGCGUUAGAUUAGAUAGUUGGUGGGUAACGGCCUACCAAGUCUACGAUCUAUAGCUGGUUUUAGAGGAUGAUCAGCAACACUGGGACUGAGACACGGCCCAGACUCCUACGGGAGGCAGCAGUGGGGAAUCUUAGACAAUGGGCGCAAGCCUGAUCUAGCCAUGCCGCGUGUGUGAUGAAGGUCUUAGGAUCGUAAAGCACUUUCGCCAGGGAUGAUAACGACAGUACCUGGUAAAGAAACCCCGGCUAACUCCGUG
Molecule: ribosomal RNA, 432 nt
Filed under: uncultured bacterium
Lineage: Bacteria
Description: bacterial SSU rRNA
Rfam family: Bacterial small subunit ribosomal RNA
Source: RNAcentral